Molecule: ribosomal RNA, 431 nt
Filed under: uncultured bacterium
Lineage: Bacteria
Description: partial 16S ribosomal RNA
Rfam family: Bacterial small subunit ribosomal RNA
Source: RNAcentral
CCUACGGGUGGCAGCAGUGGGGAAUAUUGGACAAUGGGGGCAACCCUGAUCCAGCCAUGCCGCGUGAGUGAUGAAGGCCUUAGGGUUGUAAAGCUCUUUUAGCAGGGAAGCGGUACCUGCAGAAAAAGCCCCGGCUAACUUCGUGCCAGCAGCCGCGGUAAUACGAAGGGGGCUAGCGUUGCUCGGAAUCACUGGGCGUAAAGCGCACGUAGGCGGCUUUCUAAGUCAGGGGUGAAAUCCUGGAGCUCAACUCCAGAACUGCCUUUGAUACUGGAAAGCUUGAGUUCGGGAGAGGUGAGUGGAACUGCGAGUGUAGAGGUGAAAUUCGUAGAUAUUCGCAAGAACACCAGUGGCGAAGGCGGCUCACUGGCCCGUCUGACGCUGAGGUGCGAAAGCGUGGGGAGCAAACAGGAUUAGAUACCCUUGUAGUC